This 421-nucleotide ribosomal RNA is filed under the name uncultured bacterium. RNAcentral's name for it is "partial 16S ribosomal RNA". It matches the Rfam family "Bacterial small subunit ribosomal RNA", at positions 361 to 774 of the family's 1533-position model. The record is from RNAcentral.
AUUUUGGACAAUGGGGGAAACCCUGAUCCAGCCAUCCCGCGUGUAUGAUGAAGGCCUUCGGGUUGUAAAGUACUUUUGGCAGAGAAGAAAAGGUACCUCCUAAUACGUGAUACUGCUGACGGUAUCCGCAGUAUAAGCAUCGGCUACAUACGUACCAGCAGCCGCGGUAAUACGUAGGGUCCAAGGGUUACCCGGAAUUACUGGGCGUAAAGCGUGUGUAGGCUGUUCGGAAAGAAAGAUGUGAAAACCCAGGGCUCAACCUUGGAACUGCAUUUUUAACUGCCGAGCUAGAGUAUGUCAGAGGGGGGUAGAAUUCCACGUGUAGCAGUGAAAUGCGUAGAUAUGUGGAGGAAUACCGAUGGCGAAGGCAGCCCCCUGGGAUAAUACUGACGCUCAGACACGAAAGCGUGGGGAGCAAACA